GUCUCCGGAGUGUGGCGGAUGGCACGCAACUCUGCGAAGGUUGAAGACCAGGUUCGACUCCUGGCGGGGACA
RNAcentral lists this transfer RNA (72 nucleotides) under Planctomycetia bacterium. Its description in RNAcentral is "tRNA-Arg". It matches the Rfam family "tRNA". From Rfam's summary of the family: Transfer RNA (tRNA) molecules are approximately 80 nucleotides in length. Their secondary structure includes four short double-helical elements and three loops (D, anti-codon, and T loops). Lineage: Bacteria; Pseudomonadati; Planctomycetota; Planctomycetia. The record is from RNAcentral.